UACGUAGGGGGCGAGCGUUGUCCGGAUUUAUUGGGCGUAAAGAGCUCGUAGGUGGCUGUUCAAGUCGGGUGUGAAAUCCCAAGGCUCAACCUUGGGUCUGCAUUCGAUACUGGGUGGCUUGAGUCUGGUAGGGGGACCUGGAAUUCCUGGUGUAGCGGUGGAAUGCGCAGAUAUCAGGAGGAACACCGGUGGCGAAGGCGGGGUCCUGGGCCAGUACUGACGCUGAGGAGCGAAAGCGUGGGGAGCAAACAGGAUUAGAUACCCUGGUAGUCCACGCUGUAAACGAUGGGUGCUAGGUGUGGGGGGUUAUCGACUCCUUCCGUGCCGCAGCUAACGCAGUAAGCACCCCGCCUGGGGAGUACGGCCGCAAGGCUAAA
Molecule: ribosomal RNA, 377 nt
Filed under: uncultured bacterium
Lineage: Bacteria
Description: bacterial SSU rRNA
Rfam family: Bacterial small subunit ribosomal RNA
Source: RNAcentral